RNAcentral lists this transfer RNA (95 nucleotides) under Rhodothalassium salexigens DSM 2132. RNAcentral's name for it is "tRNA-Leu". Lineage: Bacteria; Pseudomonadati; Pseudomonadota; Alphaproteobacteria; Rhodothalassiales; Rhodothalassiaceae. The record is from RNAcentral.
GUGCACGGAAAUUGAAUCGAAAAACCGCGGAAAACUGCGCCCCACACGUGUUCACACCGCAGGGGUCAGAGGUUCAAAUCCUCUCGCGCCCACCA